AGGGGAUGGAGCCGAGUGCCACA
This 23-nucleotide non-coding RNA is filed under the name Gallus gallus (chicken). The record is from miRBase by way of RNAcentral. Lineage: Eukaryota; Metazoa; Chordata; Aves; Galliformes; Phasianidae.